Molecule: non-coding RNA, 73 nt
Organism: Stegodyphus mimosarum
Lineage: Eukaryota; Metazoa; Arthropoda; Arachnida; Araneae; Eresidae
Source: Rfam
GCCUUCAUGGUGUAGUGGUCAGCACGCUCAACGUGUAACUGAGAAGUUCGUGGUUCAAUUUCUGGCGAAGGCG